This 566-nucleotide long non-coding RNA is filed under the name Brassica rapa (field mustard). RNAcentral's name for it is "long non-coding RNA (BRAP_LNC000339)". The record is from RNAcentral. Lineage: Eukaryota; Viridiplantae; Streptophyta; Magnoliopsida; Brassicales; Brassicaceae.
UUUUGUAUAAAUAAAUGUCUACUAUCAAAAUUAUUUGUAAGUUUGAUUUAACAAAUAUAAAACUAAAUCAAUAUAAAUCAGAUAAUGUUUUUUGUUGAUAGUUAAAUGACUGAAAUUUUAUUUAAUUUUAUAAGUUAUUAGGUUAAUUAUCAAAUUAAUUUUCACAAAUUUAACUAAAAAAACAAAAAUCUAAACUUUUUAAGAGUUUAGAUAUUUAAAUAUAUACAUAUUUAGACUAGGAAAUAAGAGACAUAUUUAAAAUGAAUAACCGUUAAAUAUAAGAUAAAAUAUAUAUUCUUAUUAAAUUUAAUUCUAAUUUUAUUGCAUUUAAAAAUAAAAUUUAAGUAGUUAUACAAGACUAUAUAUAAUAACAUAUAUAUGGUUUUAUUUUUUCCAAACCAAUAAAGUUAAAAUCAAAAAAAUCAAAAAAUCAAAAAAUAAACUAACUUAAAGAAAAUAAAAUAAUAUAAAUAAUAUUGUAAUUAAAUUAUUAUUUUUGUGCACCAUACAUACAAACGUUUAGUUCACACUACAAAGAGAUAUGUGAAUCCUAUAGUACUUCCGUG